This 73-nucleotide transfer RNA is filed under the name Ixodes scapularis (black-legged tick). It matches the Rfam family "tRNA". From Rfam's summary of the family: Transfer RNA (tRNA) molecules are approximately 80 nucleotides in length. Their secondary structure includes four short double-helical elements and three loops (D, anti-codon, and T loops). Lineage: Eukaryota; Metazoa; Arthropoda; Arachnida; Ixodida; Ixodidae. The record is from Rfam by way of RNAcentral.
CCCUGGGUAGCCCAGUUGGUAGAGCGCUCCACCUGUAAUGGAGAGGUCCCGGGUUCGAUACCCGGCCCAGGCG